Molecule: ribosomal RNA, 432 nt
Filed under: uncultured bacterium
Lineage: Bacteria
Description: bacterial SSU rRNA
Rfam family: Bacterial small subunit ribosomal RNA
Source: RNAcentral
GACGCUGGCGGCAUGCCUAACACAUGCAAGUCGAACGAGACCUUCGGGUCUAGUGGCGCACGGGUGCGUAACACGUGGGAAUUUGCCUCGGGGUAUGGAAUAACUCAGGGAAACUUGAGCUAAUACCAUAUAAUGUCUUCGGACCAAAGAUUUAUCGCCCUGAGAUAAGCCCGCGUAGGAUUAGCUAGUUGGUGGGGUAAAAGGCUCACCAAAGGCGACGAUCCUUAGCUGGUCUGAGAGGAUGAUCAGCCACACUGGGACUGAGACACGGCCCAGACUCCUACGGGAGGCAGCAGUGGGGGAAUAUUGGACAAUGGGCGAAAGCCUGAUCCAGCAAUGCCGCGUGAGUGAUGAAGGCCUUCGGGUUGUAAAGCUCUUUUACUCGGGACGAUAAUGACGGUACCGAGAGAAUAAGCCCCGGCUAACUCCGUG